Molecule: non-coding RNA, 120 nt
Filed under: Sinorhizobium fredii NGR234
Lineage: Bacteria; Pseudomonadati; Pseudomonadota; Alphaproteobacteria; Hyphomicrobiales; Rhizobiaceae
Description: Rhizobiales sRNA Atu_C9
Rfam family: Rhizobiales sRNA Atu_C9
Source: Rfam by way of RNAcentral
CGUCAACGCAGGGAGGAUCCUAUGGGACUUACACAUUCGUUGAAUGUCCUCAUGAUCAGUGCAGCGUUCGCAUUCGUGGCCAUCAUGCUCUUCGUCUGACGAAAGGCCGCUGAAGUCCAG